Molecule: ribosomal RNA, 426 nt
Filed under: uncultured bacterium
Lineage: Bacteria
Description: bacterial SSU rRNA
Rfam family: Bacterial small subunit ribosomal RNA
Source: RNAcentral
AAGGAAUAUUGGUCAAUGGACGCAAGUCUGAACCAGCCACGCCGCGUGGAGGAUGAAGGCCCUUGGGUUGUAAACUCCUGUCGGCUGGGAAGAAAUCAUACGGUGCUCAUACCACCGUGUGUUGACUGUACCAGCAAAGGAAGCCCCGGCUAACUCUGUGCCAGCAGCCGCGGUAAUACAGAGGGGGCCAGCGUUAUUCGGAAUUAUUGGGCGUAAAGGGCGCGUAGGCGGCCAUGCGUGUCUUCCGUGAAAUCCCUCGGCUUAACUGAGGACGUGCGGAAGAAACUGCAAGGCUCGAGUCCGGGAGAGGGGGGUGGAAUUCCCAGUGUAGCGGUGAAAUGCGUAGAUAUUGGGAGGAACACCGGUGGCGAAGGCGGCCCCCUGGACCGGUACUGACGCUGAGGCGCGAAAGCGUGGGUAGCAAAC